AAACCAACACAAUCAAUUGUAUCUUCGGUUUGGUACUCUCCCUCGACUUGAUGUUAUGCGAACCGGUUCGGCAACUCCAUCAGAAUUUUGAAGUAUUUCUGGUCAUCGUGUUUAACGAAGUGUUCCAAGAGACAUAAACCCUAAUAGCACUCACUCACUCCAUUUGUAAAAUUUGCCGUCUCCGUCUCCGUCUCUGGUCGCCGGUAUCUUCCAACACACAAAACCCAUCAGGUGAUUUCUCAUUCUUCGCUCCUUUCUGAUCUAAAAACCUUUUCUUUUUGGGACUUUAUCGAGUGCCGCUAAAUCAAGAUUCUAACGAUUUGUUUCUCAAAUGGGUUCUCAUACUUAGAUUCCGAGGUUGUUUGCAAAAAUGAUAUCUAAAGAAUGAUCACACAAUUGGUCGGCCUGGGCGAAUGUACCGAACCGAAAUUGAAAAAAAAAAAAAACGAAUCGAACCGAACCGAAAGUUUGAAAAUAACCGAAUGGAUACUAAUUCAAUAACCGAAAUAACCGUAACCGAAUCGGUACCGAACCAAAAUAUUUCGGAUAACCGAAAUAUCCGAAAUAGAAUUAUAUUUUCAAAAUAAUUAGUUAUUUAUAGACCAAAUAAUCAAAAAUACUUAAAAAUAUAUAUAAAAAUAGU
This 643-nucleotide long non-coding RNA is filed under the name Arabidopsis lyrata. RNAcentral's name for it is "long non-coding RNA (ALYR_LNC001582)". Lineage: Eukaryota; Viridiplantae; Streptophyta; Magnoliopsida; Brassicales; Brassicaceae. The record is from RNAcentral.